Molecule: ribosomal RNA, 491 nt
Filed under: Meyerozyma caribbica
Lineage: Eukaryota; Fungi; Ascomycota; Pichiomycetes; Serinales; Debaryomycetaceae
Description: eukaryotic LSU rRNA
Rfam family: Eukaryotic large subunit ribosomal RNA
Source: RNAcentral
CGGUGUCCGAGUUGUAAUUUGAAGAUUGUAACCUUGGGGUUGGCUCUUGUCUAUGUUUCUUGGAACAGGACGUCACAGAGGGUGAGAAUCCCGUGCGAUGAGAUGCCCAAUCCUAUGUAAGGUGCUUUCGAAGAGUCGAGUUGUUUGGGAAUGCAGCUCUAAGUGGGUGGUAAAUUCCAUCUAAAGCUAAAUAUUGGCGAGAGACCGAUAGCGAACAAGUACAGUGAUGGAAAGAUGAAAAGAACUUUGAAAAGAGAGUGAAAAAGUACGUGAAAUUGUUGAAAGGGAAGGGUUUGAGAUCAGACUCGAUAUUUUGUGAGCCUUGCCUUCGUGGCGGGGUGACCCGCAGCUUAUCGGGCCAGCAUCGGUUUGGGCGGUAGGAUAAUGGCGUAGGAAUGUGACUUUGCUUCGGUGAAGUGUUAUAGCCUGCGUUGAUGCUGCCUGCCUAGACCGAGGACUGCGAUUUUAUCAAGGAUGCUGGCAUAAUGAUC